AACGAACGCUGGCGGCAUGCCUAACACAUGCCAGUCGAACGAGACCUUCGGGUCUAGUGGCGCACGGGUGCGUAACGCGUGGGAACCUGCCCUUAGGUUCGGAAUAACUCCCCGAAAGGGGUGCUAAUACCGGAUAAUGUCUUCGGACCAAAGAUUUAUCGCCUUUGGAUGGGCCCGCGUUGGAUUAGCUAGUUGGUAGGGUAAAAGCCUACCAAGGCGACGAUCCAUAGCUGGUCUGAGAGGAUGAUCAGCCACACUGGGACUGAGACACGGCCCAGACUCCUACGGGAGGCAGCAGUGGGGAAUAUUGGACAGUGGGCGGAAGCCUGAUCCAGCAAUGCCGCGUGAGUGAUGAAGGCCUUAGGGUUGUAAAGCUCUUUUACCCGGGAUGAUAAUGACAGUACCGGGAGAAUAAGCUCCGGCUAACUCCGUG
Molecule: ribosomal RNA, 433 nt
Filed under: uncultured bacterium
Lineage: Bacteria
Description: partial 16S ribosomal RNA
Rfam family: Bacterial small subunit ribosomal RNA
Source: RNAcentral